UACGUAGGGGGCAAGCGUUGUCCGGAUUUAUUGGGCGUAAAGAGCGUGUAGGCGGCUGGGUAGGUCCGUUGUGAAAACUCGAGGCUCAACCUCGAGACGCCGAUGGAAACCCCCCAGCUAGAGUCCGGAAGAGGAGAGUGGAAUUCCUGGUGUAGCGGUGAAAUGCGCAGAUAUCGAGAGGAACACCUGCGGCGAAGGCGGGUUGCUGGGCUGACACUGACGCUGAUGCGCGAAAGCCAGGGGAGCGAACGGG
RNAcentral lists this ribosomal RNA (253 nucleotides) under uncultured bacterium. RNAcentral describes it as "partial 16S ribosomal RNA". It matches the Rfam family "Bacterial small subunit ribosomal RNA", at positions 524 to 776 of the family's 1533-position model. The record is from RNAcentral.